This 1331-nucleotide long non-coding RNA is filed under the name Amborella trichopoda. RNAcentral's name for it is "long non-coding RNA (ATRI_LNC004117)". The record is from RNAcentral. Lineage: Eukaryota; Viridiplantae; Streptophyta; Magnoliopsida; Amborellales; Amborellaceae.
GACUAUCUUCCUCAACACAAAACAAUCUCUGACAAAGCUUAUGACUUGGAAGCUUCAAGCUCCAAAACUAUGUCCCGUAUCUCCAAAGCCCUUUUCCUAUAAGAUACUAACCACUCCAUCUAAUAAAACCCAAUAUCCAAACCGGUGCACUGUAGGUUUACAUCCAUUUCAACAAAAUGAAACUUGUGACCUUCAUUAUUACGUUGCUAUAACAACACAAAUCAUGUCCUUCCAAAUUUGCAAUCAGCUCCUACAAAAUUUGGAACAAGGAACAUGAAGUACCAAAGAUGCUACAUUGCAUCACCUCAAUGAGCAUCAACCUAAAUCUGACUCUUCCACAAGGCAAGGCGUCUCCAUUAACCGAUCCCAUGCCUUUUUGCUUAGCUUUCCAAGGCUUAGGUGGAUGUCAAGAUACCUACUGGGAAUCAGCCUCAACAAUCUAGCUAAGGACAUGCACGACUUCGAGAUACUCGUGCCAUCACCAUGGUCAAGUUGAGAUUUACUCUCUGUCUAGGCACUAUUUCAUACUGUAUCAGAACAAGUCUGAUUGUAAGUUUUCAGCCUCAUUGUACUGCCAUUCGCUAGUCCCCUUUUGCCAAUGUUUCUAUUUCUUCUUUAAGUCUCAUUCCUGAUUUUUCCUCCUUAUUUCUCUAGUUUUAGCAUUUUCAGUUCCAACAGUCGAAAUAAAUUCAGUCCAAUCCAAACAACUGAAACUUACAUAAAGCAGUUUCUUUUUUUUUACCUCGAAAACAUAUUUCACAGAUCAGUCAAAACUUUAAGAGAAUCCAUUCAAGAAAUUAAUCACUACAAGAUCUUGGACCCCCAUGCUAAACUGAAACUGGGUAUGCAAUCAAAAAGAAACUCUACCCAGUAUGCAUAACCAAUCCACUGACUAAAAUUGGAUAAAACUCAUGACACAAAGACUAAUAGAGGUCAACGAAGUAACAAAACCCCCAAUCCAUGAACUCCCGCAAAACAAGAUCCCAAACCUCCAAUGCUCUACAAAUGAAAAGCCCAUAAAAGAAACAAGAGAAAACAGGAGAGAGAGAGAGAGAGAGAGAGAGAGAGAGAGGUAGUGUCCGUACUACUACGACUACGUACGUAGCGACGACCGACGGAACGGUACCGGUUACGUACGUAACGUACGACGACGACACGUAACGAAGGANNNNNNNNNNNNNNNNNNNNUAACCUAACGUAACUAACGUAACAACGUAACGUAACGAAACGAAACGAACGAAACGAAAGAAGAAGAAGAAGAAGAGAGAGAGAGAGAGAGAGAGGAGAGAGAGAGAGAGAGGUGUGUUCCCAUACCUAGCACUAGGUGCACG